This 228-nucleotide long non-coding RNA is filed under the name Ananas comosus (pineapple). RNAcentral describes it as "long non-coding RNA (ACOM_LNC016983)". The record is from RNAcentral. Lineage: Eukaryota; Viridiplantae; Streptophyta; Magnoliopsida; Poales; Bromeliaceae.
ACAGACUCUAUGACUUAGACGCAACUAGGAGUCUUGAAGUCUUGAUUUCCUGCAAAAUAUUUCAUUCAACAAUGAUUAACCUUAGAUUCUUAUACCUUCUCCCCCUUUGUUCACAUCCCAAUCACAUCUCCCCCUUUGUUCUUGAACUCAUCAUCAUUCUCUGCUUAGUUCAAUGCCUGUUCAUCCAUGCUCUCCCCUGUUCAUCUUCGCUCUCCCCCUUUUUGUCAA